CCCAGAGAUUGCAGAGUCGGAGAAAUCUGCAUGGUUUGGCUGCAGCUGAGGUUUGUGAUGCAAGUCAGGCAUACGUAUGCCCUAUCUUCCCCCAGAAGAGUAGUCUUACAUCAAACAUCAUCUUCCUUCACAUUCUCCUGUCCCUUCACCCUGGGUAGAACAAGGUCAAGGUGAGUAUUUUGCGACACAUUCAGUAAACUCUGGGGCUUAAGAUGCAAGAUUCUUUGGUUAUUAGGUUUUAUGUUUUUUGGUUUCUCUGGAAGCUGAGGGCAGUGAAUUUUAUUUGCAGUCUUUCUCUCAGUAUUAGGAACUUUCGAUUUUUUUUUUUUUUUUUUUUGAGACAGAGUCUCGCUCUUUUGCCUAGGCUGGAGUGCAGUGGUGUGAUCUCGGCUGACUGCAAGUUCCGCCUCCCGGGUUCAUGCCAUUCUCCUGCCUCAGCCUCCUGAGUAAGCUGGGACUACAGGCGCCUGCCACCACACCCGGCUAAUUUUUUUUUUUUUUUUUUUUUUUUUUUUUUUGUAGAGACAGGGUUUCACCGUGUUAGCCAGGAUGGUCUCAAUCUCCUGACCUUGUGAUCUGCCGGCCUUGGCCUCCCAAAAGGAACUUUGAAUUUUUAUAACAAAUAAACCAAAUAAAUUUCAUGACCAGUAAGAUACAAAGGAACAAAGUCCACAAUGUAUUGUCUUGAUAACUAAGAAAAUAAGAUACAUGAAACAUGUUUGUGAACUGUAAAGCAAUGCCUAAAUAAUAGUCAUGUUAUUAGUAACAAUUAUGAACAGUAAAGGUAUAGCAGAAAAUUUUUGAAAAGUCAUGAGCUAUGUUAAUUCAAUGACCAGCUGCCUGAAUGACAGUUUAAAAACCACCUAAACUCCUGGUGUCUUCUUUAUAAAGGUCCCCCAGAAACUAUCCAGUGUGCUGAUAAUGGCUAGAAAUUCGCUGGACUCCAUUUAUGGUAAUGCUGGGUCCAAACUGCACAACAGCUAACUGGAGCCUUAGUUGAUCACAGGCCAAUCUAGGGCUCCUGGCAACAGUAGAAUGUCCAAGUUCAGGGAGGGAUGCUGACCAUGACUUAAAAUACUUUCUUACAAAAGCCAUACUAAAUCAUUUCAAUACAGUGAUUAAGGUUGCUUUGGGCCCUUUUCUUUUUCUUUUUUUUUUUUUUUGAGAUGGAGUCUUGCUCUGCUGCCCCCCGCUGGAGUGCAAUGGCACCAUCUCGGCUCACUGAAACCUCCGCCUCCCAAGUUCCAGCAAUUCUCCUGCCUCAGCCUCCCAAGGAGCUGGGAUUACAGGAGCCUACCACCACAGCUAGCUAAUUUUUGUAUUUUUAGUAGAGAUGGGUUUCAUCAUGUUAGUCAGGCUGGUCUCGAACUCCUGACCUCAGGUGAUCCGCCUGUCUUGGCCUCCCAAAGUGCUGGGGUUACAGGUAUGAGCCACCGUGCCCGGCCCGCUUUCUGCCCUUUUCUUAACGCUUUUACUAUCUUUUAAUUCUGAAGAUUAACUGGGGAGAAAUUAUAAUCAGAUGUUACUCUCACCUGUUUUUUUAAUUAUACAUAGAUUGCAGACUGAAUACAAAUAUUGAUCAGAAGCCAAAACACCCCACACAUUACUUAUCAAUCAACCCAGGCCAAUCUGUCUUUCAACUGUACAUUUUUGUGUUCUUGCCUCACCACUUAGUAAAAUAAACAUAAGAAUAAAUAGCAAUCCAAUCCAAAUAAGCAUCUCUCAUCUAUAAUUAUCUGAAGCAACGGAUUUAAAGAUGGGUAGAGUUAAUCCACCUCACCAAGUACAUCUUCA
This 1794-nucleotide long non-coding RNA is filed under the name Homo sapiens (human). RNAcentral describes it as "HSALNT0178742". Lineage: Eukaryota; Metazoa; Chordata; Mammalia; Primates; Hominidae. The record is from RNAcentral.